UACGUAGGGCGCAAGCGUUGUCCGGAAUUAUUGGGCGUAAAGAGCUCGUAGGCGGUUUGUUACGUCCGCUGUGAAAACCCAGGGCUUAACCCUGGGCUUGCAGUGGAUACGGGCAGACUAGAGGUAGGUAGGGGAGAAUGGAAUUCCCGGUGUAGCGGUGAAAUGCGCAGAUAUCGGGAGGAACACCGGUGGCGAAGGCGGCACUCUGGGCUGGUACUGACGCUGAGGAGCGAAAGCGUGGGUAGCGAACAGG
Molecule: ribosomal RNA, 253 nt
Filed under: uncultured bacterium
Lineage: Bacteria
Description: partial 16S ribosomal RNA
Rfam family: Bacterial small subunit ribosomal RNA
Source: RNAcentral